This 1260-nucleotide long non-coding RNA is filed under the name Homo sapiens (human). RNAcentral's name for it is "HSALNT0269145". The record is from RNAcentral. Lineage: Eukaryota; Metazoa; Chordata; Mammalia; Primates; Hominidae.
UCUUUUUUUUUUUUUUGGAGAUGGAGUCCCGCUGUGUCGCCUAGACUGGAGUGCAGUGGCGCGAUCUUGGCUCACUGCAACCUCCGACUCCUGGGAUCAAGCAAUUCUCUUGCCUCAGCCUCCCGAGUAGCUAGGAUUACAGCACCCACCACCAUGCCCAGGUAAUUUUUUUUGUAUUUUUAGUAGACAUGGGGUUUCACCAUGUUGGCCAGGCUGGCCUCGAACUCCUGACCUCGUGAUCUGCCCGCUUCGUCCUCCCAAAGUGCUGGGAUUACAGGCAUGAGCCACCACGCCUGGUCACCACCACUUCUCUCUGUGUGGCUUUAAGCAAGUUACUUAAAUUCCCUGCACUUCAGUUUUCCGUAGAGUUCAUGUACAUCAGUUGUCAAAGGGCAGAUGUCUGGCACAUUGGAAAUAUUACCGAAUGUUAGUUAUCCGUGAAUCGGGGGACUGAUUUUAUAACCACCCAAAUCAUAUUUAUUUCCUAGAGGAAUGAAGAUGAAAAUAGUGGUGGUUAGUGUCUAGCAUCGCACUAUGUUUGCCAAGAUUAAUUUGCAAUGAGCCGUUUUCAAACAGGAUGUUCAGCCACUAUAUGUACUUCUUGAAGUAACCAGCAGGUGGUGAAGUUGGAUUAUAUUUUAGAUGGUCAGGGCCUGGUGUACCUCUUGCCUGGGGUUUUGUGAGAGAAAAAAAAUAGCUUUCUUUUUUAUCAGCACCCCAAACCAUUAACAUCUGGAAUCAAUAGAGGCUGUAUCUGUCACUUAAUGCUAUAGAAAUUGCAAGAAAAAAGUCCUGCUGGUUAGUAUACCAGUUCUCAAAAUGUCAGCAUCAUUUGUGUCACCUGGGGGUACUUGUCAGGAAUGCAGUCUCUCUGGUCCCACCCCACAGGAUGGAACUGGAAACUAAGGAUGAGCCCAGUCAUCUGUGUCUUCAAGAACUCUCCAGUGAUUCUGGUGCACUUGUGUUAUAGAACCGCUGUGCUAGAGGUCUUAGUAUUUCCUGUAAUCCCAGCACUUUGGGAGGCUGAGGCGGGCAGAUAAUUUCAGCCCAGGAGUUUGAGAUCAGGCUGGGCAACAUGGCGUAACUUCGUCUCUACAAAAAGUACAGAAAUUGACCCAGCAUAGAGUCGUGCACCUGUAGUCCCAGCUAUUGAGGAGGAUGAGCUGGGAGGAUCAUUUGAGCCUGGAAGGCAGAGGUUGCAGUGAGUGGAGAUCGUGCCACUGCACUCCAGCCUGGGACAGAGUGAGACCCUGUCUCAAA